RNAcentral lists this ribosomal RNA (460 nucleotides) under uncultured bacterium. RNAcentral's name for it is "partial 16S ribosomal RNA". It matches the Rfam family "Bacterial small subunit ribosomal RNA", at positions 338 to 795 of the family's 1533-position model. The record is from RNAcentral.
GCUACGGGUGGCAGCAGUGAGGAAUAUUGGUCAAUGGACGCAAGUCUGAACCAGCCAUGCCGCGUGCAGGAAAACGGCUCUAUGAGUUGUAAACUGCUUUUGUACGAGGGUAAACGCAGAUACGCGUAUCUGUCUGAAAGUAUCGUACGAAUAAAGAUCGGCUAACUCCGUGCCAGCAGCCGCGGUAAUACGGAGGAUUCAAUCGUUAUCCGGAUAUAUUGGGGUUAAAGGGUACGUAGGCGGUCGGUCAAGUUAGAGGUGAAAUCCCGAGGCGCAAAUUCGGAAUUGCCUCUGAGACUGUUCGGCUAGAGAGUAGUUGCGGUAGGCGGAAUGUAUGGUGUAGCGGUGAAAUGCUUAGAGAUCAUACAGAACACCGAUUGCGAAGGCAGCUUACCAAGCUACUUCUGACGUUGAGGCACGAAAGCGUGGGGAGCAAACAGGAUUAGAUACCCGAGUAGUC